GUGUGUGUAUAUACACACACACACACACACACACACACACAUAUGUGUGUGUGUGUGUGUGUGUGUGUGUGUGUGUAUAUAUAUAUAUAU
This is a non-coding RNA of Podarcis lilfordi (Lilford's wall lizard), 90 nucleotides long. The record is from the annotation of a GenBank genome assembly. Lineage: Eukaryota; Metazoa; Chordata; Lepidosauria; Squamata; Lacertidae.